RNAcentral lists this ribosomal RNA (452 nucleotides) under Salmonella enterica subsp. enterica serovar Typhimurium. Its description in RNAcentral is "partial 23S ribosomal RNA". It matches the Rfam family "Bacterial large subunit ribosomal RNA", at positions 195 to 688 of the family's 2925-position model. The record is from RNAcentral. Lineage: Bacteria; Pseudomonadati; Pseudomonadota; Gammaproteobacteria; Enterobacterales; Enterobacteriaceae.
GAAACAUCUAAGUACCCCGAGGAAAAGAAAUCAACCGAGAUUCCCCCAGUAGCGGCGAGCGAACGGGGAGGAGCCCAGAGCCUGAAUCAGCAUGUGUGUUAGUGGAAGCGUCUGGAAAGGCGCGCGAUACAGGGUGACAGCCCCGUACACAAAAGCGCAUGUGCUGUGAGCUCGAUGAGUAGGGCGGGACACGUGGUAUCCUGUCUGAAUAUGGGGGGACCAUCCUCCAAGGCUAAAUACUCCUGACUGACCGAUAGUGAACCAGUACCGUGAGGGAAAGGCGAAAAGAACCCCGGCGAGGGGAGUGAAAAAGAACCUGAAACCGUGUACGUACAAGCAGUGGGAGCACCCUUCGGGGUGUGACUGCGUACCUUUUGUAUAAUGGGUCAGCGACUUAUAUUCUGUAGCAAGGUUAACCGUAUAGGGGAGCCGGAGGGAAACCGAGUCUUAAU